This 254-nucleotide ribosomal RNA is filed under the name uncultured archaeon. Its description in RNAcentral is "partial 16S ribosomal RNA". It matches the Rfam family "Archaeal small subunit ribosomal RNA", at positions 474 to 727 of the family's 1478-position model. The record is from RNAcentral.
UACCAGCACCCCGAGUGGUGGCCACGUUUAUUGGGCCUAAAGCGCUCGUAGCCGGGCCUGCAAGUCCCUCGUGAAAUCGGGCCGCCUAACGGUCCGGCGUGCGGGGGAUACUGCAGGCCUUGGGGCCGGGAGACGCUGGGGGUACUCCUGGGGUAGCGGGGAAAUGUGUUAAUCCCAGGAGGACCACCGGUGGCGAAGGCGCCCAGCGAUAACGGUCCCGACGGUGAGGGGCGAAGGCUGGGGGAGCGAACGGG